CUAAGAGCUAACAGAAGUUUCUGGAUCUAGUUGAAAUGCAGCUUGGUGAGGCUGAAUGGAAGGCUGAGCAUGAAGAAUGUGCUGAUCUGCUCAAGACGUGUCAGUUGUUUGUUAACUUUCGGAGGAUUUGAUUUCACUAAGACGAUCUGUUACUGCUGUGGGAAUUAAUUAAAGUCUGCAUUCAUCUGGGACCAUUUAGCCUCACUUGGAAACGUGCAUGAGAUACUGGAUUUGGGGCUGAUCAUCAAAAGCCCUGAUAACCCAAGCUGCGUGUUUGUUUGAUCUUUGUGAGCUGCUGUGACCACUGCUGUGUGAUCCAAAACACAGUUAUGUCAGAUGUCCUGUUUGAGAUGUGGCCUAUUCUUGAACUGUGGAGCACUUAGAUGAUGAUGCAGAGUGGAGCAAUGUGUAUCUCUCCAGAGCUUCGUGGAAGUGACAAGUGAAACAGAUGGCGAGCAGUCCCUGGACCCACCUUCUCUGGUGUGUGAUGAUGGGAGCCAACCAGCAGUGCUGAGGGGAGGAAGAGGAGCAUCGCCCCGUCACACCAUGGCCCCACGUGCCGGCCCGCCUGAUGGCGGCUGGGGCUGGAUGAUUGUGGCCGGCUGCUUCCUGGUCACUAUCUGCACCAGGGCCGUGACGAGGUAAAGGGGCU
This 652-nucleotide long non-coding RNA is filed under the name Chrysolophus pictus (golden pheasant). Its description in RNAcentral is "lncRNA (ENSCPIG00010006038.1)". The record is from RNAcentral. Lineage: Eukaryota; Metazoa; Chordata; Aves; Galliformes; Phasianidae.